UGGCCCCUCCCGCACAGGCCCGGAGUGUCCCCCUGUCACCACUGCCCCCCCCCCAGAUUCCCAGGUCUGCCUUGAAGCCUCUUGCCAGAGUACUGUGUCCACGCCUCCUAUCCAUGUACACAUCCCGCCCAGCUCCCCGUCCCGCCCAGCGCCAGGGCCCCGCCCAGCUCCCCUGUCCCGCCCAGCUCCGGUUCCACCCAGCGUCAGGGCCCCGCCCAGCUCCGGUUCCACCCAGCGUCAGGGCCUCGCCCAGCUCCCCAGUCCCGCCCAGCUCCGGUUCCACCCAGCGUCAGGGCCCCGCCCAGCUCCCGGCCCCACCCAGCGCCAGGGCCCCGCCCAGCUCCGGUUCCACCCAGCUCCCAGGCCCCGCCCAGCUCCC
Mustela lutreola (European mink) is the source of this 379-nucleotide long non-coding RNA. RefSeq lists it as uncharacterized. The record is from RefSeq and is a predicted model, not a curated record. The transcript has 3 exons. Lineage: Eukaryota; Metazoa; Chordata; Mammalia; Carnivora; Mustelidae.